Molecule: transfer RNA, 75 nt
Filed under: Pasteurellaceae bacterium NI1060
Lineage: Bacteria; Pseudomonadati; Pseudomonadota; Gammaproteobacteria; Pasteurellales; Pasteurellaceae
Description: tRNA-Val
Rfam family: tRNA
About the family: Transfer RNA (tRNA) molecules are approximately 80 nucleotides in length. Their secondary structure includes four short double-helical elements and three loops (D, anti-codon, and T loops).
Source: RNAcentral
GGGCGAUUAGCUCAGUUGGGAGAGCACCUCCCUUACAAGGGGAGGGGUCACUGGUUUCGAGACCGGUAUCGCCCA